UACGUAGGGGGCAAGCGUUGUCCGGAUUUAUUGGGCGUAAAGAGCGUGUAGGCGGUCAGGUAGGUCGGUUGUGAAAACUGGAGGCUCAACCUUCAGAGGUCGACCGAAACCCCCUGGCUAGAGUCCGGGAGAGGAGAGUGGAAUUCCUGGCGUAGCGGUGAAAUGCGCAGAUAUCAGGAAGAACACCCGUGGCGAAAGCGGCUCUCUGGGCCGAUACUGACGCUGAGGAGCGAAAGCGUGGGGAGCGAACAGG
This 253-nucleotide ribosomal RNA is filed under the name uncultured bacterium. Its description in RNAcentral is "partial 16S ribosomal RNA". It matches the Rfam family "Bacterial small subunit ribosomal RNA", at positions 524 to 776 of the family's 1533-position model. The record is from RNAcentral.